This 521-nucleotide ribosomal RNA is filed under the name uncultured Hanseniaspora. Its description in RNAcentral is "eukaryotic LSU rRNA". It matches the Rfam family "Eukaryotic large subunit ribosomal RNA", at positions 56 to 586 of the family's 3401-position model. Lineage: Eukaryota; Fungi; Ascomycota; Saccharomycetes; Saccharomycodales; Saccharomycodaceae. The record is from RNAcentral.
GAAAACCAACUGGGAUUACCUUAGUAACGGCGAGUGAAGCGGUAAAAAGCUCAAAUUUGAAAUCUGGUACUUUCAGUGCCCGAGUUGUAAUUUGUAGAAUUUGUCUUUGAUUAGGUCCUUGUCUAUGUUCCUUGGAACAGGACGUCAUAGAGGGUGAGAAUCCCGUUUGGCGAGGAUACCUUUUCUCUGUAAGACUUUUUCGAAGAGUCGAGUUGUUUGGGAAUGCAGCUCAAAGUGGGUGGUAAAUUCCAUCUAAAGCUAAAUAUUGGCGAGAGACCGAUAGCGAACAAGUACAGUGAUGGAAAGAUGAAAAGAACUUUGAAAAGAGAGUGAAAAAGUACGUGAAAUUGUUGAAAGGGAAGGGCAUUUGAUCAGACAUGGUGUUUUGCGCCCUUUGCUCCUUGUGGGCGGAGGAUACGCAGCUCACUGGGCCAACAUCAGUUUUGGGAGCAGGAUAAAUCUGUAGGAACGUAGCUUUCUUCGGGGAAUGUUAUAGCCUAUGGGAAUACUGCUACCUGGGA